Molecule: long non-coding RNA, 324 nt
Organism: Eriocheir sinensis (Chinese mitten crab)
Lineage: Eukaryota; Metazoa; Arthropoda; Malacostraca; Decapoda; Varunidae
Exons: 3
Source: RefSeq, a predicted model, not a curated record
CGGGCAUUCGACGAUUUGGAUUCGAGCCGCAACUAUGGUGCGGGACGGAAGGUUGCUGCCGUCUUGUCCUGAGUGGUCCACUUCACUUGUACAACGGACCUUGGACUUGUGGUAUGAACAAAGGUGUUACCAGGCCACCCGGGACAUGACGUUGAUGGGUUCCUACAGGAGGCUGGCGUCCUCAACCUCCUAUAACUGGUUUAAUUUAAUCAGUAGGGGCUAUGGGUCGGUUUGUCUUCCCCAGUCUGCCCUCCCGGAGCUCAUCCUUAAUCCUAGAAUCUAAAGUCCGGGUUGAUAGGUGGUCUUCUGGACAGAAUGCGGGUA